RNAcentral lists this small RNA (344 nucleotides) under Histoplasma capsulatum. RNAcentral describes it as "hypothetical RNA". The record is from RNAcentral. Lineage: Eukaryota; Fungi; Ascomycota; Eurotiomycetes; Onygenales; Ajellomycetaceae. RNAcentral also lists the same sequence under 1 other name.
UUAGUAGUAUCGACCUCUGCUUUUACCCAUAAAUUAUCUUUAUAUAUAGUCAUCUUCUACCCCAAAUCAAUCUCUAUUAUAUUCUUUCUUCUACCAUUGAUUUUGCUAGAUCUCUCCAUGUCGUUGCCAGGUAUUGCUAGAUAUUCAUAUCAUCAAUAGAUACCAUUGCCAGAUAUCAUUCAAUCUUGAUAUCAGACAUAAACAAGCAGGUAGAUGAGUAAAUGAGUGAGAGAAAGCAAUCUGUAUAUCUCACUAGUAUUCGUACAGAAUCUCGAUAUAAAAAGCUUUCAACAUCAUCUAUUAAAGUCUUUGUGACAGAUUGAUAGUAUAAAAUAAAUAUAGGG